This 253-nucleotide ribosomal RNA is filed under the name uncultured bacterium. RNAcentral's name for it is "partial 16S ribosomal RNA". It matches the Rfam family "Bacterial small subunit ribosomal RNA", at positions 524 to 776 of the family's 1533-position model. The record is from RNAcentral.
UACGUAGGGUGCGAGCGUUACUCGGAAUUACUGGGCGUAAAGCGUGCGCAGGCGGCGCGUUAAGACAGGUGUGAAAGCCCCGAGCUUAACUUGGGAAUUGCGCUUGUGACUGGCGUGCUGGAGUGUGGCAGAGGGAGGUGGAAUUCCACGUGUAGCAGUGAAAUGCGUAGAGAUGUGGAGGAACACCGAUGGCGAAGGCAGCCUCCUGGGCCAGCACUGACGCUCAUGCACGAAAGCUAGGGGAGCAAACAGG